This 1346-nucleotide ribosomal RNA is filed under the name uncultured bacterium. RNAcentral's name for it is "partial 16S ribosomal RNA". It matches the Rfam family "Bacterial small subunit ribosomal RNA", at positions 28 to 1381 of the family's 1533-position model. The record is from RNAcentral.
GACGAACGCUGGCGGCGUGCUUAUCACAUGCAAGUCGAACGGAAAGGCCCUGCUUUUGUGGGGUGCUCGAGUGGCGAACGGGUGAGUAACACGUGAGUAACCUGCCCUUGACUUUGGGAUAACCUCAGGAAACUGGGGCUAAUACCGGAUAGGAGCUCCUGCUGCAUGGUGGGGGUUGGAAAGUUUCGGCGGUUGGGGAUGGACUCGCGGCUUAUCAGCUUGUUGGUGGGGUAGUGGCUUACCAAGGCUUUGACGGGUAGCCGGCCUGAGAGGGUGACCGGCCACAUUGGGACUGAGAUACGGCCCAGACUCCUACGGGAGGCAGCAGUGGGGAAUAUUGCACAAUGGGCGGAAGCCUGAUGCAGCAACGCCGCGUGCGGGAUGACGGCCUUCGGGUUGUAAACCGCUUUCGCCUGUGACGAAGCGUGAGUGACGGUUAUGGGUAAAGAAGCACCGGCUAACUACGUGCCAGCAGCCGCGGUGAUACGUAGGGUGCGAGCGUUGUCCGGAUUUAUUGGGCGUAAAGGGCUCGUAGGUGGUUGAUCGCGUCGGAAGUGUAAUCUUGGGGCUUAACCCUGAGCGUGCUUUCGAUACGGGUUGACUUGAGGAAGGUAGGGGAGAAUGGAAUUCCUGGUGGAGCGGUGGAAUGCGCAGAUAUCAGGAGGAACACCAGUGGCGAAGGCGGUUCUCUGGGCCUUUCCUGACGCUGAGGAGCGAAAGCGUGGGGAGCGAACAGGCUUAGAUACCCUGGUAGUCCACGCUGUAAACGGUGGGUACUAGGUGUGGGGUCCAUUCCACGGGUUCCGUGCCGUAGCUAACGCUUUAAGUACCCCGCCUGGGGAGUACGGCCGCAAGGCUAAGACUCAAAGGAAUUGACGGGGCCCCGCACAAGCGGCGGAGCAUGCGGAUUAAUUCGAUGCAACGCGUAGAACCUUACCUGGGUUUGACAUGGAUCGGGAGUGCUCAGAGAUGGGUGUGCCUCUUUUGGGGUCGGUUCACAGGUGGUGCAUGGCUGUCGUCAGCUCGUGUCGUGAGAUGUUGGGUUAAGUCCCGCAACGAGCGCAACCCUUGUUCACUGUUGCCAGCACGUUAUGGUGGGGACUCAGUGGAGACCGCCGGGGUCAACUCGGAGGAAGGUGGGGAUGACGUCAAGUCAUCAUGCCCCUUAUGUCCAGGGCUUCACGCAUGCUACAAUGGCUGGUACAGAGAGUGGCGAGCCUGUGAGGGUGAGCGAAUCUCGGAAAGCCGGUCUCAGUUCGGAUUGGGGUCUGCAACUCGACCUCAUGAAGUCGGAGUCGCUAGUAAUCGCAGAUCAGCAACGCUGCGGUGAAUACGUUCCCGGGGCU